RNAcentral lists this ribosomal RNA (392 nucleotides) under uncultured bacterium. RNAcentral's name for it is "bacterial SSU rRNA". It matches the Rfam family "Bacterial small subunit ribosomal RNA", at positions 355 to 764 of the family's 1533-position model. The record is from RNAcentral.
UCGGGAAUUUUGGGCAAUGGGCGAAAGCCUGACCCAGCAACGCCGCGUGAGGGAUGAAGUAUUUCGGUAUGUAAACCCCGAAAGAAUGGGAAGAAUAAAUGACGGUACCAUUUAUAAGCUCCGGCUAACUACGUGCCAGCAGCCGCGGUAGUACGUAGGGAGCAAGCGUUGUUCGGAUUUACCGGGCGUAAAGGGCGCGUAGGCGGCGCGGUAAGUCACUUGUGAAAUCUCUGAGCUUAACUCAGAACGGCCAAGUGAUACUGCUGUGCUAGAGUGCGGAAGAGGCCACCGGAAUUCUUGGUGUAGCGGUGAAAUGCGUAGAUAUCAAGAGGAACACCUGAGGCGAAGGCGGGUUGCUGGGCCGACACUGACGCUGAUGCGCGAAAGCCAGG